GUAGCUCCCAUCACUACUUCUCUUCAUCUCUGCUUUACCCAGAGUGAAGCAGGAGCACCAAGACCACAUCUUCACAACUGCAUGAGUACAACUGGGCAACAGGCCAACUGGACAAACACAGCACACAAAUUUCAUUGAAAUCUGAGAAGCAAGAAUGUUCUUCUUCGUUUGAACCUGAAGACACCUGCAGCUCAGUCUCAGGUUAAUGAGUCCCUCUCUUCAAGUUCUUCUCUGACAAACUGACUGGCUUGAAGCCCUCCUUUGGAGAAGAAUUCAGGAAGAGGUCAUUUAAAAGAGCCCAAAGAUGCAGCGGGCUGGAUCAAGAGCGCAGAUGUCCAGAACACAGGCUGGGUAAGCAGCUGCCCUCUGGUUGAUUACCAAGCACUUCACACCAAGGCUAUUCCAUCUGAAGGACAUUACAGAGAACAAAAGGCAUAGGGUCACAUUUCCUACUACAUUCUGUUACUUCUUCUCAAAAGCAAUGAAAUGCCCCAUUUUUGAGUGUA
Molecule: long non-coding RNA, 506 nt
Organism: Vidua macroura (Pin-tailed whydah)
Lineage: Eukaryota; Metazoa; Chordata; Aves; Passeriformes; Viduidae
Exons: 3
Source: RefSeq, a predicted model, not a curated record